This 468-nucleotide ribosomal RNA is filed under the name uncultured bacterium. Its description in RNAcentral is "partial 16S ribosomal RNA". It matches the Rfam family "Bacterial small subunit ribosomal RNA", at positions 28 to 507 of the family's 1533-position model. The record is from RNAcentral.
GACGAACGCUGGCGGCGUGCUUAACACAUGCCAGUCGAACGGAAAGGCCCUGCUUUUGUGGGGUGCUCGAGUGGCGAACGGGUGAGUAACACGUGAGUAACCUGCCCUUGACUUUGGGAUAACUUCAGGAAACUGGGGCUAAUACCGGAUAGGAGCUCCUGCUGCAUGGUGGGGGUUGGAAAGUUUCGGCGGUUGGGGAUGGACUCGCGGCUUAUCAGCUUGUUGGUGGGGUAGUGGCUUACCAAGGCUUUGACGGGUAGCCGGCCUGAGAGGGUGACCGGCCACAUUGGGACUGAGAUACGGCCCAGACUCCUACGGGAGGCAGCAGUGGGGAAUAUUGCACAAUGGGCGGAAGCCUGAUGCAGCAACGCCGCGUGCGGGAUGACGGCCUUCGGGUUGUAAACCGCUUUCGCCUAUGACGAAGCGUUGGGGGCGGUUAUGGGGUAAAGAAGAACCGGUUACUUACUG